UUGAAAGGGAAACGAUUGAAGUCAGUCAUGCUUGCAGGGAAUCAACAUGGUGGUUUUCUUCCUUGUGCACUUCCUUGCUUGGCAGGUUAGCAUCAAUUUUGAUUGUCAUUAAAAAACCGGGGGAAUGUGGCUUCUUCGGGAGUGUUAUAGACUUUGGUAGAUGUGGCGAUCAAGAUUGAGGAUUGCAGCGAAUGCUUCUUGGCUAGUCACCUGGCUUCUGACGGUCACCUUGCUUUCGAUAGCUUGCUAACGUUGGUGAGAUUUGAUUGUCUAGAUGUUAGAGUGAUCAUAAAUUCGCUAAGGAUGCUGACGUAAUGGCUUUAAACGACCCGUCUUGAAACACGGACCA
This 349-nucleotide ribosomal RNA is filed under the name Glomeromycotina sp. RNAcentral's name for it is "partial large subunit ribosomal RNA". Lineage: Eukaryota; Fungi; Glomeromycota. The record is from RNAcentral.